AGGACGAACGCUGGCGGCGUGCUUAACACAUGCAAGUCGAGCGGUAAGGCCUUUCGGGGUACACGAGCGGCGAACGGGUGAGUAACACGUGGGCGACCUGCCCUCAGCUCUGGGAUAAGCCUGGGAAACUGGGUCUAAUACCGGAUAUGACUCAUGAUCGCAUGGUUGUGGGUGGAAAGUUUGUUCUUAAUUGGACACUUCGGUGGGGGAUGGGCCCGCGGCCUAUCAGCUUGUUGGUGGGUGAUGGCCUACCAAGGCGACGACGGGUA
Molecule: ribosomal RNA, 269 nt
Filed under: uncultured bacterium
Lineage: Bacteria
Description: partial small subunit ribosomal RNA
Rfam family: Bacterial small subunit ribosomal RNA
Source: RNAcentral